GACAGAGGGAGCUAGCGUUGUUCGGAAUUACUGGGCGUAAAGGGUGCGUAGGCGGUUUUUUAAGUGAGGUGUUAAAUCCCCAGGCUUAACCUGGGAAUCGCAUUUCAAACUGAAAAGCUAGAGUGUGAGAGAGGAAAGUGGAAUUCCUAGUGUAGAGGUGAAAUUCGUAGAUAUUAGGAGGAACUCCAAAGGCGAAGGCAGCUUUCUGGCUCACUACUGACGCUGAGGCACGAAAGCGUGGGGAGCAAACAGG
Molecule: ribosomal RNA, 253 nt
Filed under: uncultured bacterium
Lineage: Bacteria
Description: partial 16S ribosomal RNA
Rfam family: Bacterial small subunit ribosomal RNA
Source: RNAcentral